This 465-nucleotide ribosomal RNA is filed under the name Vreelandella stevensii. RNAcentral describes it as "partial 16S ribosomal RNA". It matches the Rfam family "Bacterial small subunit ribosomal RNA", at positions 338 to 795 of the family's 1533-position model. The record is from RNAcentral. Lineage: Bacteria; Pseudomonadati; Pseudomonadota; Gammaproteobacteria; Oceanospirillales; Halomonadaceae.
CCUACGGGAGGCAGCAGUGGGGAAUAUUGGACAAUGGGCGCAAGCCUGAUCCAGCCAUGCCGCGUGUGUGAAGAAGGCCUUCGGGUUGUAAAGCACUUUUAGUGGGGAAGAAAGCCUUGGGGCUAAUACCCUCGAGGAAGGACAUCACCUACAGAAGAAGCACCGGCUAACUCCGUGCCAGCAGCCGCGGUAAUACGGAGGGUGCGAGCGUUAAUCGGAAUUACUGGGCGUAAAGCGCGCGUAGGCGGUCAUGUAAGCCGGUUGUGAAAGCCCCGGGCUCAACCUGGGAACGGCAUCCGGAACUGUCAGGCUAGAGUGUAGGAGAGGAAGGUAGAAUUCCCGGUGUAGCGGUGAAAUGCGUAGAGAUCUGGAGGAAUACCGGUGGCGAAGGCGGCCUUCUGGACUGACACUGACGCUGAGGUGCGAAAGCGUGGGUAGCAAACAGGAUUAGAUACCCUGGUAGUC